RNAcentral lists this ribosomal RNA (460 nucleotides) under uncultured bacterium. RNAcentral describes it as "partial 16S ribosomal RNA". It matches the Rfam family "Bacterial small subunit ribosomal RNA", at positions 338 to 795 of the family's 1533-position model. The record is from RNAcentral.
CCUACGGGAGUCAGCCGUUCUUACUAUUGGUCCAUGGGCGCGAGCCUGAACCAGCCAAGUAGCGUGAAGGAUGACUGCCCUACGGGUUGUAAACUUCUUUUAUAAAGGAAUAAAGUGAGGCACGUGUGCCUUUUUGUAUGUACUUUAUGAAUAAGGAUCGGCUAACUCCGUGCCAGCAGCCGCGGUAAUACGGAGGAUCCGAGCGUUAUCCGGAUUUAUUGGGUUUAAAGGGAGCGUAGAUGGGUUGUUAAGUCAGUUGUGAAAGUUUGCGGCUCAACCGUAAAAUUGCAAUUGAUACUGGCAGCCUUGAGUACAGUUGAGGUAGGCGGAAUUCGUGGUGUAGCGGUGAAAUGCUUAGAUAUCACGAAGAACUCCGAUUGCGAAGGCAGCUUACUAAACUGCCACUGACAUUGAUGCUCGAAAGUGUGGGUAUCAAACAGGAUUAGAUACCCCAGUAGUC